This 380-nucleotide non-coding RNA is filed under the name Gossypium hirsutum (cotton). Its description in RNAcentral is "Eukaryotic large subunit ribosomal RNA". It matches the Rfam family "Eukaryotic large subunit ribosomal RNA", at positions 666 to 1454 of the family's 3401-position model. The record is from Rfam by way of RNAcentral. Lineage: Eukaryota; Viridiplantae; Streptophyta; Magnoliopsida; Malvales; Malvaceae.
CCAAGGAGUCUGACAUGUGUGCGGCUCAACGAGCUAGAAAACUCGUAAGGCGCAAGGAAAUUGAUUGGCGGGAUCCCUCGCGGGUGCACCACCGAUUGACCUUAAUCUUCUGAGAAGGGUUCGAGUGAGAGCAUGCCUGUCGGGACCUGAAAGAUGGUGAACUAUGCCUGAGCGGGGCGAAGCCAGAGAAAACUCUAGUAGAGGCCCGCAGCGAUACUAGUGUGCAAAUCGUUUGUCUGACUUAGGUAUAGGGGUGAAAGACUAAUCGAACCGUCGAGUGUCAUGGGUUGCGAAGGGAAACUUGCAACCAUGACGGACUUGUGUAAUUUAUCGCUUUUGAGGAAGGUCAUUUGGCCCAAUCAGACUGGUCCAGUGCUUGG